GAUGAACGCUGGCGGCGUGCUUAACACAUGCAAGUCGAACGGGAAUGUUUCGCUGAUGCGAUUUCGGUCAAAUCUUGAAGCAUUUUAGUGGCGGACGGGUGAGUAACGCGUGGGUAACCUGCCCUGUACAGGGGGACAACAGUUGGAAACGACUGCUAAUACCGCAUAAGCGCACAGCUUCGCUUGAAGCAGUGUGAAAAACUCCGGUGGUACAGGAUGGACCCGCGUCUGAUUAGAUAGUUGGUGAGGUAACGGCCCACCAAGUCAACGAUCAGUAGCCGGCCUGAGAGGGCGAACGGCCACAUUGGGACUGAGACACGGCCCAAACUCCUACGGGAGGCAGCAGUGGGGAAUAUUGCACAAUGGGAGAAACCCUGAUGCAGCGACGCCGCGUGAGUGAAGAAGUAUUUCGGUAUGUAAAGCUCUAUCAGCAGGGAAGAAAACAAUGACGGUACCUGACUAAGAAGCCCCGGCUAACUACGUGCCAGCAGCCGCGGUAA
RNAcentral lists this ribosomal RNA (500 nucleotides) under uncultured bacterium. RNAcentral describes it as "partial 16S ribosomal RNA". It matches the Rfam family "Bacterial small subunit ribosomal RNA", at positions 28 to 523 of the family's 1533-position model. The record is from RNAcentral.